RNAcentral lists this unclassified non-coding RNA (279 nucleotides) under plant metagenome. Its description in RNAcentral is "partial contains small subunit ribosomal RNA, internal transcribed spacer 1, and 5.8S ribosomal RNA". The record is from RNAcentral.
UUUCCGUAGGUGAACCUGCGGAAGGAUCAUUAACGUAUCUCUGACGGCGAGGGUGCUCCCCGCUCCGGACUUAUUGGCCCUGCAGCGGGCCACCCCGAGCCGCUCACCCUUUGCAAACCCCACUGUGCACUUUUGUCGGCAAACGGCCCUCAACGUCCCGAGCCGGCCCACAAACAAUCCUUUCCAUAAACAACUGUGGCCGCUGUUCCGCCUACGCUUUAGCAACUUUCAACCACGGAUCGCUUGGCUCUCGCCUCGAGUCAGAACGCAGCAGAUCGG